CAGUCGCCGCGGGAAUACGAAGGGGGCUAGCGUUGUUCGGAUUUACUGGGCGUAAAGGGUGCGUAGGCGGAUUGUUAAGUCAGGGGUGAAAUCCCGAGGCUCAACCUCGGAACUGCCUUUGAUACUGGCGAUCUUGAGUCCGGGAGAGGUGAGUGGAACUGCGAGUGUAGAGGUGAAAUUCGUAGAGAUGUGGAGGAACACCAGUGGCGAAGGCGACUCUCUGGUCUGUAACCGACGCUGAGGAGCGAAAGCGUGGGGAGCGAACAGGAUUAGAUACCCCCGUAGUCCCUGUCUCUUAUAC
This 301-nucleotide ribosomal RNA is filed under the name uncultured bacterium. Its description in RNAcentral is "partial 16S ribosomal RNA". It matches the Rfam family "Bacterial small subunit ribosomal RNA", at positions 509 to 807 of the family's 1533-position model. The record is from RNAcentral.